UACGGAGGGGGCUAGCGUUGUUCGGAAUUACUGGGCGUAAAGCGCACGUAGGCGGCUUUGUAAGUUAGAGGUGAAAGCCUGGUGCUCAACACCAGAACUGCCUUUAAGACUGCAUCGCUUGAAUCAUGGAGAGGCGGGUGGAAUUCCGAGUGUAGAGGUGAAAUUCGUAGAUAUUCGGAAGAACACCAGUGGCGAAGGCAGCUCGCUGGGACGGUACUGACGCUGAGGCGCGAAAGCGUGGGGAGCAAACAGG
RNAcentral lists this ribosomal RNA (253 nucleotides) under uncultured bacterium. RNAcentral's name for it is "partial 16S ribosomal RNA". It matches the Rfam family "Bacterial small subunit ribosomal RNA", at positions 524 to 776 of the family's 1533-position model. The record is from RNAcentral.